The sequence is a transfer RNA, 71 nucleotides long. It matches the Rfam family "tRNA". From Rfam's summary of the family: Transfer RNA (tRNA) molecules are approximately 80 nucleotides in length. Their secondary structure includes four short double-helical elements and three loops (D, anti-codon, and T loops).
GCGGGUAUAAAUUAAUGGUAAAUUACUUGCCUUCCAAGUAAGUUAUAUGGGUUCAAGCCCCAUUACCCGCU